AAUAGAUACCCGGGUAGUCCACGCCGUAAACGAUGAGUGCUAGGUGUUAGGGGGUUUCCGCCCCUUAGUGCUGCAGCUAACGCAUUAAGCACUCCGCCUGGGGAGUACGGUCGCAAGACUGAAACUCAAAGGAAUUGACGGGGGCCCGCACAAGCGGUGGAGCAUGUGGUUUAAUUCGAAGCAACGCGAAGAACCUUACCAGGUCUUGACAUCCCGCUGACCGCCAUGGAGACAUGGCCUUCCCUUCGGGGACAGCGGUGACAGGUGGUGCAUGGUUGUCGUCAGCUCGUGUCGUGAGAUGUUGGGUUAAGUCCCGCAACGAGCGCAACCCUUGUCCUUAGUUGCCAUCAUUCAGUUGGGCACUCUAAGGAGACUGCCGUACAAAUCGGAGAAGGUGGGGAUGACGUCAAAUCAUCAUGCCCCUUAUGACCUGGGCUACACACGUGCUACAAUGGGUGGUACAAAGGGCAGCAAACCCGCGAGGGGGAGCGAAUCCCAAAAAGCCACUCUCAGUUCGGAUUGCAGGCUGCAACC
Molecule: ribosomal RNA, 534 nt
Filed under: uncultured bacterium
Lineage: Bacteria
Description: bacterial SSU rRNA
Rfam family: Bacterial small subunit ribosomal RNA
Source: RNAcentral